Long non-coding RNA from Colius striatus (speckled mousebird), 4277 nucleotides. RefSeq lists it as uncharacterized. The transcript has 7 exons. The record is from RefSeq and is a predicted model, not a curated record. Lineage: Eukaryota; Metazoa; Chordata; Aves; Coliiformes; Coliidae.
CAGCAUCCCCACUCACUAGCAGGUUGUGGGGAGAGCUGUCACACGGGAGAACCAGCUGGGAGAAAUCGUGCAGAAAGUCCUCUUCAGAGGCCAGCAGCAGCUCGUUCCACGCAGAGAUGUCCAGCUUCCCUGAAGUACCACCAUACUCUUCAGGAAGGAUCACUGGAGCUCCUGAGCACAGAGACCUGAGAGAAGUGGGCAGGCAGAACCUGGAGUCCCAGGGCAGAGAGAAUGAUUGGAUUCAUCAUUGCAAUAAGUUACUGGGUACGAUGCCCCCGGCGGCGAGAGACCAUCGAUCCCUGUGACGCCGGCAGCACGUGGAGAGGGGGUCAUUUCUGCUUUGGAAAUCAAGGGUGACCCCUGCAGCUCCCCUGGCUGGGCUGGCUCAGCUUCCUCCCUGCCUCUUGGCAGCUGCACUCUCACCAGCAUCAUCUUCCCCAGAAGCCAGCACCCCACAGUCUAUGGAAUUUCUCACACACUCAUUAUCAGAGACUGUCUUGCAUGGAAAUUUCCUUACGAGGUAGAAACUACCUCCACAGGCAUGCUGGAAAGCUCUUGGUUUCUCCUGGGAGCUCUCUGUCUGUCUGGUGAUACUCACACAUCUGCCCAUUGUGCAUCUGAGGAGGCAUUGUGUUGGCCACAAUGACGUUUGUUCCCAGGUUCUCCUGGAUCAGGUAGCAUUAGCUCUGGAGAUUCUCAGGGGGACACUGAUCAGGAAGCUUCCUGCAGGAGCUUCAAGUACUCACCUCCCAGCAGCAUCUCCUGCAGCAGGUUGUCAAUCUUAGCCAUGCCAAAGAGCUUCACGAACUGGAUCUGCUCGAUCAUCUGCCAGGUGAUGCUCUGCAGCACAGGCAGCAGCAGCAGCAGCUCCCCGAAGCGGCCACGGGAGUCGUACUGCCGGUCGUUGAUGUAGUCCUCCAGGCUCACCUGCACCUGGUACCGCAUCCGCUUGAUCUUGGACGGGUCGCUCAGUCCUUUGGCAUCUGCAACGACCCACAGAGCAAACCAUCCAGGCUGCUUCCCUACGAGCUGCCUUUGGCCUGACUUCUCCCCUCCCUCUGAGUUUGGCCCAGAGAGGAGACCAGGCAGCAUUUCCACAACUCAGGACCAGCAUUACUCAACAUAACCCAGAUUCGUUCCCUCUCAUGGGAACCGUCACCGAGCUGGAGCAUACCUGGGUCAAAGAAGAUGAUGGCUUUCAAGCAGGCAUAUUCAUUGUCAUCUAUCUGCAGCUCCUGGAAGGGGAGGACCAGCUCGUCCAGGAUGCGGAUGGCCACGCGAUUCACCUCCACCAGCUCGGGGCAGUUCCGGGGGAUGAUGUGGUCAUUUCCUUCAGACAAGCAGCAAAGAGACCAUCAUCUGGUCAUUGGCCAGGACUUAGCAAGGAGUUCAAAACCCAGUGAUCAACCUGGGAUACAUCAACCUGAGAUCCAUCACCCCAUUGUGAACUAGGAUAAACAUAAAAGUUGUAACACAACAGAGUAGAACUUUAACUUGGAAAUGAAAUGGCUUUGCCCCACCAAGCCCUGUCCUUUGACGUUUUGGUGCAGAGGAAGAAUGAAGGGUUAGGUAUGACUUUUCCUAUAAAAAUGUUGACAGUGAUGAUUCACUCUCGGGCAGCAUUUCAAUGGCAAUGUAACAGUGUUUCCCAUCAUUAAAUGUUCCCACUGGACAUGUCUUGACUGGCUCUCAUGCCCUUUGGGCAGCUGCCUUGCGUGUAGUUUUGUUCAUUCUCACUCCCUGGCAUUUCUGUCCUUCCCCCUGCACUCCCCUGAAUGUCUGCUGCCUCUUCUCACACUGUCCUUUGAAAGCACGGAUGGCAUCAAUUGAUUAGUUUUAAUGCAGCACAGUUGUUCCUCUCAAGCCCUUUGAGACAGAUUGGGAACUGCUCAUGAUGGAGGAUGGCUGGGCAUAACAGAAGACCUAUUUCUGUCCAGAGAAGCCUGUGGAGCCUGCCGAGAGCAGGCUCUUCUCUGGGGGAAGGCAGCGUUCAGACAGUGUCAUCUUUAGGCUUUAUUUUCUUCCGUGAAAAAAUUUGCAGCCCGACAGUUGUAAGAUGAGCUCACAUGGAAAUUGGUGUCGUUUGGGGAGUUACCAACCAGGUUUAUUGCCUCUGUACCAAAUGGCACAAGGAUGCAAUGGGCUAUGUAGAACUGCCCAAGCCUCGGCUGGGCUAUUUGCUGUGUAAAUGUCAUUUGCCAUUGGAGUCCAUGUCUGAUUGUCAUAACUUUUGAGUUGUCAUUGCCUUAGGGGUUUAACAAACUGCUCACUGUUUAAACAAUUUAGCACUUGUACGUAAUAGUAAAGAGGGAAAUAUGCUCUGCAUUAACAGCACUGAACUCCCUGGGGCUUUGUGUUGUUGGGUUGAAGAUCUCAGUUUUAGGAUUUGGCGGGGGGUUGAUCAGCUGGAUAGUCUCACUUUUUCUUCAUGAUGUACAAGCUACCUGUAGAGCGACAGGACUGGAGUCUGAGCCUAGCUGAAGAGGACCCAUACUGGUUCUGUGACACUGAGAAGACUGGAAAUACCUUCCUACCUGUCACAGGACCUGUGCUGGCACUGCCAGAACUGCUAUAUAUACCCUGCCAGAAGUGCUAUCUCUUCCCUCUGGAGCCUCCCCACUCUCCACACUUGCUGUUCGAGGCUGGGAACACAUCAUGUCCUGCAUCAUCUGCUGCAGACCUUUACACCUACACAGGAGACAUCUCCUUGUAUCUCUUUGAGGCUGCCUACAAUGCUGCUGUAUGGUUUUACAGAGGAUUUCAAACCCACUGUGCUCAUCUUGGUCACAGAAUCAGCAAAUGUCGUUUUAGUAAAUUGUGUUCAAUGCAAAUGUAUUUCUGGUUAUUAACUCUGAAGUGAGAUUUUCUUUUUGCCUUAGGGGUGAACUAGUGUUUAGUUUCUACAAUUCCAUAUGAGGAGAACGGAUACAAGCAUUUCCCCAGGCAAGAAGCAGAAAGAAAGACAAGCAGAUUUGGUUUAAAUUCUUGAGCAGACCUUAGGCUGGAAAUCUGUCCUACUAAGGCUGAUUACCCUGAGUAUAUGUAUAGCACUUCAGGUUUGCAGAAUGCUGACCAAUCUAUAAUUAAUAAACAAUUGAGUGAUAGACUCAUGCAAAAUGCACACCUGAUUGUGGUCCUAGAUGGUGCUUAGUGUUAUCAUGGCUGUGCUCAUUGACUGAUCAGCUGCACAUGCAAAUGGCCUGUGCUGGCAUUGUAUGGAUGCCAUUCCAAAUCAGCUGCAGCAGGCAGGAUAACAGUGGACAAUGUUUGCUUUGAAGGUCUCAGCUUGCUUUUGGCUCCCCGUUGCCUUGCCCUGGGCAGAGUGAGGUGGGGUGAAUGAGGACUUGCCUGGUCAUCCAGGGGCAGCUCACAGAAGGCUGGGAUGUACUUGGCCCACUCCACCAGCACCAGCAGCUGCUGCUUCAUGGACUCACACACAUCAGAGAUGUUGGCAAUCUUCUUCCCUCGGAUGUCUCCGUUCAUCACAGGAACCGGCGAUGAUAUCUGGAAGGAGAGACAAAUUCCUUUGGCUUUCAGUGCCACAGAAGCGACAUAAUAGGAGAAUCCCCAGCUUGUGGGGUGUGUGUUCAUGCAGACUCCAGCAGCAAUGGUUACUUUUUUCUGUUGCACAUCCAGCCACCAAAAUAUGUGGCCCAACACAAUUAAUUUAAAUUGACAUCAACCUGGGGCUCUGUAAACAUGAAAUGCUUCAGAGCUGAGGCUGUGGAUCAUCUUGGUUAAAUGUCAGGCCUUGAAUAGACUGAAAAGCACAGGAGAAAUGUUUCCAAAGCUAAGGUCUUCCUCUCACUGACCAAAUGUGCUCAGCCAAGAUCCAGGAGGGAACAGAGGGGCUCAUGUAGCAGUCUCACCAGUAGCAAGGACUUGUCCACCGAGUGCUGCUUCACAAGCUACUUGGUCUCUCCAAAGGGCAAAGAACUCUUGCCCUUUCCACCCUGCUCUAGAGCCAGUGCUUGGCUAGACCUGCAUUGUCUGCUUUUGCUGGGAGACAUGCAGGCUCUGCUUCUCCUCUCUGAGUCAGCAUGAGCACGAGAAGUCUCUGCUGAGGGUGGCUUCCCAGCUCUGACCUUGCCCUCUGUGAGCACUAGGUCAUUAGUAUUUGCCAUUACUCCAUUUGAACUACCAACAACAGACUUUAAAAACAACAACUUUACACCUCCCCACAGCUUUUUGGCUCUUUUGGUAAAAGUGUGCUUGUGCAAAAGUGUGCUUGUGCAAAGUGUGCACACACAUCACAGUUUUUACAUUGCAAAUUCUUU